GUAUGGGGGAGGACCAAUUCGGAGAUUGAGGUGGAUAGACCAGCCAGUCCUAGCAGCAGUGGGUAUGCAGGUGAAAGAGGAAGCAGCAGUGCCAGUAGCGGCAGGUCGGAGAUGGAUGGAGUUGCUGAGGAUGAGAUACAGGAACUGAGAGAUGAUGACGCUUCUAUUGGUGAGAACUCGAAUUCUGUACCCUCGUGGGUUCCUGGAAAGCGGCAUGGUGACGAGGAUGAUGCUUCCAUAUCGUGGAGAAAAAGGAAGAAGCAUUUCUUUAUUCUUAGCCAUUCUGGAAAGCCUAUUUAUUCCAGGUAUGGAGACGAGCACAAACUAGCAGGAUUUUCGGCCAGCUUGCAGGCAAUCAUUUCCUUUGUUGAGGAUGGGGGUGAUCGUGUCA
Molecule: unclassified non-coding RNA, 391 nt
Filed under: Hevea brasiliensis (rubber tree)
Lineage: Eukaryota; Viridiplantae; Streptophyta; Magnoliopsida; Malpighiales; Euphorbiaceae
Source: RNAcentral